This 1089-nucleotide long non-coding RNA is filed under the name Anser brachyrhynchus (Pink-footed goose). Its description in RNAcentral is "lncRNA (ENSABRG00000016295.1)". Lineage: Eukaryota; Metazoa; Chordata; Aves; Anseriformes; Anatidae. The record is from RNAcentral.
UAAAAACCCUGUUAAAACUAUAAUCCAGUAUUUGUCUCUCAAAAUCCUGUGACAUUGGAACGGAAAUAGCUCCUAUCAAUCCUGUAGUAAAGGAAAAUUGCCAGUUUCUACUUGUAAGCUGGUGAAAUCAUAGAAAGAGGUAUUAAUGUAAUUGCUGUAUGCAGUUUUCACAUCAAAAAUAAUUCCAGACACUUACACUGUGCCUGACAGUGUUUAGUUUGUUAGACAAAGUUUCAGUUAUGAAACUGCCUGCCUUGCAUUGCAGGUGUAAAUAGCUUUAUGCACAACUGCUCUGAAAAGCUGUAUACAGACAGUUGUCUCUGUUGGGGGAAAAUCUAAAUGUUCACUUUUGCUUCUGCCCAGGCUUCGGGAACAGAUUUACUUAGCCAUGUUGGAAACGAUGACUACCUCCAAAGUUGACUUUAUAACGUCACCCAUGAGAUUUACAAACUUUUUAAAUGGUUUGUGGUUCCACAGAGUUCUUUAAAACCCUAUUGAGACAUUGGUAGAUGAACUGGAAACAGAGUUAAAUCUAGAGAUUUAACAACAACAACAAAGUCUCUUUUCAGCUUUUUUUCACUUAUCUGUGCUAAAUGAGUAAAACAGAUUGUGGUUGAAUGACCUAGUAGUUAUAAAUGUCUGUAGUAAUUCCAUCAUAAGAGCUGUGUUGAGAAUUGCAGAAAAAGUAGGUAUAUAAUCUCUAUUUCACACUUUAAUGAUUGGACUUAAACUUUAAUUUUCAUGCAGUGAUUCUUCAGUGGACAUGUAAUCAUCGAUAACAGACUUACUGAAGAGGAAACAGCAGAGGACUACAUGGUUUUGAAAGUUUUCUCUAAGUUGUCAGAACUUGAAACUGUCACCUGCCAGAAACAGCAGAAUCUUUCAUGUCCGAAAACUUUUCAGACCUACAACUUUGCUUUUGCCUCUCAGAAGGAAGGCUUUGAGAAGUCCUGAAAAGGAACUCUGGAGAUGACAGAACAAGGGACUAGCAGUGAUUUCCUUAAUCCCAACAUAUGACAUAAUGAUGUAAUUAUUAUUGUAUAAUUAUUAUUGUGGUUUUUUGUUAUUGUUGUUUUUGUUUUUGUUUCU